GCCAGCGGUGAUAGCUCGUUGAAUACACCACUUCCCCAUAGUUCACUGAUGUUAAGCAACGUUGCUCGUAGUUAGUGACCGAAUGGGUGACCAUCGGGGGAAUCGCGUGCUCGUUGCUU
This 119-nucleotide ribosomal RNA is filed under the name Diaphorina citri (Asian citrus psyllid). The record is from RNAcentral. Lineage: Eukaryota; Metazoa; Arthropoda; Insecta; Hemiptera; Psyllidae.